UACACUUGUGCCGAUGUUUUGAUACCUU
RNAcentral lists this non-coding RNA (28 nucleotides) under Bombyx mori (domestic silkworm). Lineage: Eukaryota; Metazoa; Arthropoda; Insecta; Lepidoptera; Bombycidae. The record is from RNAcentral.